RNAcentral lists this ribosomal RNA (114 nucleotides) under Rhinopithecus bieti (black snub-nosed monkey). Lineage: Eukaryota; Metazoa; Chordata; Mammalia; Primates; Cercopithecidae. The record is from RNAcentral.
AUCUACGGCCACACUACCCUGAACACAUCCCGAAGUCUCUGAUCUGGGCAGACAAGCAGGGCCUGGGUAGGACUUGGAUUGGAGGCUGCCUGGGAAUACCAAGGGCUGUAGACU